This 274-nucleotide ribosomal RNA is filed under the name uncultured bacterium. Its description in RNAcentral is "partial 16S ribosomal RNA". It matches the Rfam family "Bacterial small subunit ribosomal RNA", at positions 523 to 796 of the family's 1533-position model. The record is from RNAcentral.
AUACGGAGGGUGCGAGCGUUGUUCGGAAUUAUUGGGCGUAAAGAGCAUGUAGGCGGUCUGUUAAGUCUGGUGUGAAAGCCCGGGGCUCAACCCCGGAAGUGCAUUGGAUACUGGCAGACUUGAGUAUGGGAGAGGAAAGCGGAAUUCCGAGUGUAGGAGUGAAAUCCGUAGAUAUUCGGAGGAACACCAGUGGCGAAGGCGGCUUUCUGGACCAAUACUGACGCUGAGAUGCGAAAGCGUGGGGAGCAAACAGGAUUAGAAACCCGAGUAGUCC